UAAAACUUUAAGUGUGCCUAGG
Molecule: microRNA, 22 nt
Filed under: Homo sapiens (human)
Lineage: Eukaryota; Metazoa; Chordata; Mammalia; Primates; Hominidae
Description: hsa-miR-5582-3p
Source: miRBase by way of RNAcentral